Molecule: ribosomal RNA, 293 nt
Filed under: uncultured bacterium
Lineage: Bacteria
Description: partial 16S ribosomal RNA
Rfam family: Bacterial small subunit ribosomal RNA
Source: RNAcentral
AGCGAACGUUAGCGGCAGGCUUAACACAUGCAAGUCGAGCGAGAAAGAGGGUUUCGGCCCUCGAGUAAAGCGGCGUACGGGUGAGUAACACGUGGGUAAUCUGCCCUCCGGUGGGGACAACAACCCGAAAGGGUUGCUAAUACCGCAUUCGUCGGCGAGCUCUGCGGAGCACGUCGGGAAAGGUGCCCUCUACUUGUAAGGUACCGCCGGAGGAGGAGCCCGCGUCCCAUCAGCUAGUUGGUAGGGAACGGCCUACCAAGGCAAAGACGGGUAGCUGGUCUGAGAGGAUGAUC